This 253-nucleotide ribosomal RNA is filed under the name uncultured Lactobacillus sp. RNAcentral's name for it is "partial 16S ribosomal RNA". It matches the Rfam family "Bacterial small subunit ribosomal RNA", at positions 524 to 776 of the family's 1533-position model. Lineage: Bacteria; Bacillati; Bacillota; Bacilli; Lactobacillales; Lactobacillaceae. The record is from RNAcentral.
UACGUAGGUGGCAAGCGUUAUCCGGAUUUAUUGGGCGUAAAGGGAACGCAGGCGGUCUUUUAAGUCUGAUGUGAAAGCCUUCGGCUUAACCGGAGUAGUGCAUUGGAAACUGGGAGACUUGAGUGCAGAAGAGGAGAGUGGAACUCCAUGUGUAGCGGUGAAAUGCGUAGAUAUAACUUAGAACUCCGAUAGCGAAGGCAGCUUACCAGACUGCGACUGACGCUGAAGCACGAGAGCGUGGGUAGCGAACAGG